RNAcentral lists this long non-coding RNA (718 nucleotides) under Marmota monax (woodchuck). Lineage: Eukaryota; Metazoa; Chordata; Mammalia; Rodentia; Sciuridae. The record is from RNAcentral.
CUCCCACACCUGGAAGCUAAUGAGUAAUGAGCACUAUUAAGGCCUAUUUCAAAUGUAAAAAACCUUGAGAUAAUGUACUAAAUUGUUCAGAAGGUUGUUUUCUUAGUAGAAUGCUACAGGAUUUUCUUUAGCCAUCCGGAGUUCCUGCCUUCGUCCCAGUGCCAGUAAAGACCAAGGUGGAAGAAUUUCCAGUGUUGUUGAGAACCGGACAAAACUUCGGCUGAGAAACGGACGAGACUUCGGAGCUGUUGCUGUUUCUGCUACUACAGCUUAGGCUAGCUGCCUGCAGAACUUACCUGGACUGUGAACUUACCUGGACUGUGAUUUACCUGGACUGUGAGUUAAUCCAUUGAGGCACUGCUUUACUUGGACUGAGACAACAAACUGUAAUCUACAACAAAUUGUAACUCGGUAUCUUUGCUAACGGUGUCAUUGCUGGUAUAAUUUUUCCAAGGGCUUCUUGCAUGGAGCCAUCAAUUGGCUUGGUAUUGUGGCAUUUUGUAUCCUCCCUUUCUGUUUGUAGCAGGUUAUUUAUGGUGUUUGUGUAAAAACCACUAUGGUCGUUAUUUAAAUUAAACAAAAGGGGGAAAUGUUAGAGUCUGUAAACAAGUCAAAAUAACACCUGGCAUUUUGCCAGGGGAAUGUUAGAGUUCUUAAACAAGUCUGGAUGGUGCCUGGCAAAAUGCCAGAGGGAGUGGUUUGAGAAGUAACAAAAGUG